UGGGGAAUUUUGCACAAUGGGGGAAACCCUGAUGCAGCGACGCCGCGUGAUUUAGAAGGCCUUCGGGUUGUAAAAAUCUUUUUUACGGGAUGAAAAUGACAGUACCGUAAGAAUAAGGUCCGGCUAAAUACGUGCCAGCAGCCGCGGUAAUACGUAUGGAGCGAGCGUUGUCCGGAAUCAUUGGGCGUAAAGGGUACGUAGGCGGCCUAGUAAGUUAGAAGUGAAAUAAUAUAGCUCAACUAUAUAAAGCUUUUAAAACUGCUAGGCUUGAGAGAUCGCAUAGAGAGUGGAAUUCCUAGUGUAGCAGUGAAAUGCGCAGAUAUUAGGAAGAAUACCGGUAGCGGAGGCGACUUUCUGGUCAUCCUCUGACGCUGAGGUACGAAAGCGUGGGUAGCAAGCAGC
RNAcentral lists this ribosomal RNA (402 nucleotides) under bacterium. RNAcentral describes it as "partial 16S ribosomal RNA". It matches the Rfam family "Bacterial small subunit ribosomal RNA", at positions 355 to 776 of the family's 1533-position model. The record is from RNAcentral.